Long non-coding RNA from Anolis carolinensis (green anole), 4885 nucleotides. NCBI's taxonomy places the organism in Eukaryota, Metazoa, Chordata, Lepidosauria, Squamata, Anolidae. The record is from Ensembl.
CUCCUUCCUCAAGUGCUCCGGCAGUCGAGGAAGAAGACUCAGCCCAAUUGUUGAAAGCGCUGGUCGCUCGCAUCGAGUCGCUGGAAAGAGAGAAAGCAGCGUUUGCUGCUUCGGAAGCGCAGAUUGGUGGGGGCAGUAACACUGUGCUAAUAACGUCCGUAUUUUCCUGUAUUUCUGCCUUAGAAGGGGAGAAGCGAGCCCUGGUGCCUGUCAAUGAUGAGAGCCUGGUUGCAUCAACGCCGGUGGCCGCAGGAGCUGUUCCACCUUCUUCAGAGGCAGCUGUUGAGUCAGGAAGUGCUGCGACUAUUUUAGAACCUGUUCUGUUGGCAAAUAGACGUCGCGUCCUGAUUUGUGGGCACAGCUACGUACACUGAGCUGAGCGACAGGCGCACAGGGGUCCCUACGGCCAACUUCGCAGCCUCGCUUCCAUGGCAUUCGUGGAGAGGAGGGGAGGAAGAGGCCUUUUUGUGCUGUUAAUGAUUUGGGUCUGCCAAUGGGCAGGGGCCUGUUUUAUACAAGUUUAUGAAUUAUUUGUACAGGUUCGAUUGGCAUGCACAAGGUAAAGGAAUGUUUUUCCCUCUUACACGCUUGUUAUGGCUAUGUUUUUACAGAUUCGAUUGGCAGGCACAAGCUAAAGGAGUGUGUUCCCUCUAACACGCUUGUCAUGGCCCUAUUUGUACAGGUUCGAUUGGCAUGCACAAGGUAAAGGAGUGUGUUCCCUCUAGCACGCUUGUCAUGGCCAUGUUUGUACAAUUUUUGAAUGACAUGCACAAGCUUUGAGAGGUUUGGCCUCGAACUGGCUUAGCAUGGUCAGCAAUCAUUCCUAGGCCAAUCAGGCCCUUUGAAAAGUUUUAAAGAAUGGCAUAGGUUAUUGUAUCCCUCAUGACACCAUUAAGUUCAAUGAUGCGAAUUUGUAUCGGGCUGAUGGGAUCCAUCUGUCCGAACUGGGCAACCAAAUUUUCUUAGCUGACCUGCAAUAAGGAAUUAGGGAAAUUCUUUCGAAUUUGGUGGGGGUCAGGAGCUAAAUAGACAUUUGCUCCUGAACUGUGGCGGAAUGCUUAGGGGAAUCUCUUAUUUUGGUGUGCACCACAAGGCACCUCUGUUUUGGUGUUGGCCAGAGGCGUGAAUCCUCGCUUAGGGUUUGUACAGCCCCGGCGAGGGUGAACGAUUAUGGCCUUGGAAUGGGAGACUUUGACCUCAUUUGUUUCGGAGGCAAAACUCUCCAACACAUUCCCCUUUAGGUCAUCCAGGUUUAGAUAGACUGGGGACCUGGUGUUUCGCCCUAAAUUCAGUCUUAAUGGAUGGUCGGGUAUGACCACUAAUAUCGGCUUAUGCCUUACCAAAUUCUUAGAUGGCUAAGGAUUUUUGGCCCUAGUUCCAAAUUAAAGUUAAAUAGGUAACUAUCAAUAAAGUUGCCCAGUUUUAAACCCAAGCUUACUUGUCUUGUCUCGUUAUUUCGGAGGGUUGGAGGGCAAGAAACUUCCCCCCACUGCGCAGCUGGGGGAGGGAAGUGGAUUUGCCCCCUCCCAACGAAGGAGAGACUUCUAGAUGGGGGCGGGGCUUAUAGGAAGCUGCCCGCCUCUUAGAUCACUCACUUUUGGAGCUUCGACCCACCCGCCCGCCGCUAACAGUAUAGCAGUAGUGUGGUCGCUUAGAUGGGCCGGGUAGGAAUUUUUCCCCUCCCAUGUUCUGGGAGGGUUUUUUCGCCUACCCUAUACUGUGUGGAGUGGUAAAUUGGGAGGUGUGGUAAUUUAAUUAGGUGGUCAGCGGAAUGCUUAGGGGAAUCUCUUAUUUUGGUGUGCACCACAAGGCACCUCUGUUUUGGUGUUGGCCAGAGGCGUGAAUCCUCGCUUAGGGUUUGUACAGCCCCGGCGAGGGUGAACGAUUAUGGCCUUGGAAUGGGAGACUUUGACCUCAUUUGUUUCGGAGGCAAAACUCUCCAACACAUUCCCCUUUAGGUCAUCCAGGUUUAGAUAGACUGGGGACCUGGUGUUUCGCCCUAAAUUCAGUCUUAAUGGAUGGUCGGGUAUGACCACUAAUAUCGGCUUAUGCCUUACCAAAUUCUUAGAUGGCUAAGGAUUUUUGGCCCUAGUUCCAAAUUAAAGUUAAAUAGGUAACUAUCAAUAAAGUUGCCCAGUUUUAAACCCAAGCUUACUUGUCUUGUCUCGUUAUUUCGGAGGGUUGGAGGGCAAAUAAAAUUGCUGCCUAAAAUGCAAAGGGCUCAGUGCUACACUUUUUUCAGUGUAAUUAUGACUUGUCAUAAAGUUUUAGUUUCUCCAAACCUUUGUGUAAUCUGUCUGUGAGUAGCUUUCAUCCUCACUGGGCAUAAUCUAUGUUGUGUUGGUAGCUAAACCCUUGAAAGAGCUGCCUUUCUGAAAUAUCAUUACAGUAAGCAGGGGAGGGGAAUUUCUGAGGUGGGGGGAUGACUCCUGUAUAUAAUGUGCAAAUGUGAUUCAGACACGAUAAAGCCAGAAUAUCACUGGUUUUAAUUACCUUAAUUAAUUAAUUAAUUAAUUAAUUGUCACUUUUUGUUGGAAUUAUGAUGUCUUGGAAGUUUCUACUUUUUUCUUUCCUUAAAAUUGAUUUUCUGCCCAUCUGCUUCUCUAUAUCUCAUUCUUUCUUAAUCUGUUGGUGGUGUAUAUGGACACAAUGGUGUGCUUGAUUAUCUAGAAAGGAUCAGAGAGAUGCAGGGUAGAAAAGAAUGCAAAAUAGAAGUCAGAAGGCAAGCUUUGACAGCUCAUCUUAAGGAAAAAAUAUUUUUAUGAAUUUCUCUAGAUCUCUGCUGGUACAGGGAUACUGUAAAGAUGCUAAUAUGUCAAAUCAAAAUGCCACUUCUCUCUUAAAAUGCAAAUCCAGUUUUCUCUUUCUUCUUUCUCAGUUUAGCCACUUCCCUCAUAUUUAGGGACUUUUCAUGCAGUGAAGAGCUUGGAAAAGAUCACGAUGCUGGGGAAAAUGGAAGGAAAAAGGAAGAGAGGCCGACCAAAAGCAAGAUGGAUGGACGGUAUCCUUGAAGUGACUGGCUUGACCUUGAAGGAACUGGGGGUGGUGACGGCCGACAGGGAGCUCUGGCGUGGACUGGUCCAUGCGGUCAUGAAGAGUCGGAGACGACUAAACGACUGAGCAGCAGCAUGCAUGCAGUGAUUAAAGAACUGUAACCAUGUGCUCAAAGGGAUAUAUUGCUGCACACGGAUGACAAUUUCAACACCUUACAUAAAAUUGUAAUUAAAAAUUGAAUUUCUAAGUCUGAUUAAAUCAUUAUUAUAGCAUGUUGUCUUCAAUUUAAAUGUAUGCACUUAGCCUUCAAAUAAUCACCAUAUAUUAUUAGCUGUUAAAGGGUUUAUUGGACAUCUUUUUCUCUGUGUGUGUUUGUUUAUAAUUGUAAACUCUUUAAAAUUCUCUCUCUCUCUGUGUGUAUAAGUUUUUAGUUUGUUUAUUUAACUGAUAUGAUGUCAAAAUGGUAAAAAAUAUUUUAAAAUUCUGAUACAAUGGUCAUUAGUUUGAAGAAACAAAAAAUUUUAAAUCUAUUUUACAUGGGGGACAUAUUUUUGUUUUAAUCUAAUUCACAUUUUUUCAAACUAAUACAUGCAUAGAAAUUUGCUGCUCCAAAUGUUGACAUGCAGUGUUAAAAUGUAUACAUUACAGGACAGUGUAUACUAAAUGUUUAUAUUACUGCAAAUUAUUAAAAUGCUUUAUUUUAGAAAACAUUUCUUUAAAAAACUCAAAUAAUAGGCUAAAUAAAAAUGUGUAUGCAAGGAAAUAUAUAUGAAAAUGACUAUGAACUUUCAUCCAGAUUGAUGCUAGACAGAUGCAAAAAUGAAAAGAAUGAACUGCGUACUUGUAAGAUAAUAAACUAAGAAAAAACAAAAUUGAUAAGAUUCAUCUAUUUUUAACCUGUGUACACAAUCUAGCAUUCUACUGCAAGAGCUGUCAUGAUAAGGACACACAGAUAUUUCACAAAAAUGUCUUAGACUGCAGAGAAGGAAUAAGUAAGUCCACAUGAUUUCACUUCCUUUUGAGUGAAUAGCCUCAGAGCAGCGAGAACUCUUACAACUUGUUAAAUACAAUAUGAUUCUAACUCCGAGACCAGAAUUUAAUUUUUCUGUAUUUGGAAAUUCUAUUGCAAAAGUAUAAUUUCAAAGACAUCAAAACAAGCCAUAAAAUGGCUACUUUUAUUAGCCAACUAAAUAUAUCAUUCAAGCUUUAGAAGCUCUACUGGCAUCUUCAUUAGGCAAAGAUGUUAAAAAUGAUACAGGGGAAGAAAUGUGAUGAUGUUGCAAUCACAAUGCCACAUUUUGUCUCAGAUAUUAAUUUUUGACUGCUAGCAACAGGAAAGUCAUUUGAAGCUCAACCAUGAAAUAACAAGACCCCCUUAGCCACAAAAAGAUUUAGGCAGCUACCUACCCGCCCCAGAUCUAGGUAAGAUUGGUCUCUAGACCAAAUUUCCGGUUAUCCAAGAAAAUCGUAUUUCUUUCUGUAAGUAAAUGAACAUCAUCAGCUCUGUAAAACUCUGGCCUUGUGAAAUCUAUAUCAUUUUCCAUCAUGUCCACCAUUGCCUUCCUCAUGGCACAAUAAUUUUUUUCUUUAUGUGUGGUCAAAGUGCAAGGAUUGCAUUUCCCUAUCCAAGCUUGACAGGGCAGGAUAGCUAAUAAUUCAACAAUAACCCCAGGUCAACUGCUUUGAAUAUAUUGUAUUGUAUUUGUUCGAAUCUAGUGUGCCAUUGAAUCUAAAGCGCACCUCAAAUUUGAAACAACAACAACAAAACAACUUGCUGGUGAAUGUAAUGCACCCCUCCUCUUCCUUGUCUGCUCCUGUUGGGAAGAAGUGACAACAAUGCACAUGUUCCAUUUCUCCCUCUUUUCCCCCUCAUUGCCUCUUAGCUGGCACU